AAUAAAUGAAGAAAUCACAUGAGAAAAUGGAAUUUGGAGAAGAAUUGGAAAAAUGCUGGAGCGGAGGAUCGAAGUGAGGAGGGGCGCUGGGCAAAACGACGUCGUUUUGGUGUAACCCUAGCCUCCAAACCAGGUGGUGGCGCUACAGUUCCAGGCGGUGGUUCAUGCGGUGGUUUCCACCGUCUUCUUCGUGAAGACGGUGGUGCUACUGUUCAUCUUUUUUUUUUUUUGCAGAAUUUAAUAAAAUUUAUAUCGUUAGAAAGGUCUUGAUGAGUAGAUUCCAAAUAUCAUAAAAACUAAUCCUAAUUCUCAAUAUAUUUUCUGGAUCGAAGGAAAUAAGUUUCUAGAUCUAAACUUUAAUUCAACAUAACUUCUUCAUUUUUCAUCCAAAUUUCAUGAAAUUUAUAUCAGAAUAACCAGUGAUGAAAGCUCUAAAAGUUUAUGUACAUAAAAU
This 454-nucleotide long non-coding RNA is filed under the name Lathyrus oleraceus (garden pea). RNAcentral describes it as "Pisum sativum (pea) long non-coding RNA (PSAT_LNC039146)". Lineage: Eukaryota; Viridiplantae; Streptophyta; Magnoliopsida; Fabales; Fabaceae. The record is from RNAcentral.